RNAcentral lists this ribosomal RNA (722 nucleotides) under Marinobacter sp. Its description in RNAcentral is "bacterial SSU rRNA". It matches the Rfam family "Bacterial small subunit ribosomal RNA", at positions 76 to 792 of the family's 1533-position model. Lineage: Bacteria; Pseudomonadati; Pseudomonadota; Gammaproteobacteria; Pseudomonadales; Marinobacteraceae. The record is from RNAcentral.
AAGCUUGCUCCCCGCUGACGAGCGGCGGACGGGUGAGUAAUGCAUAGGAAACUGCCCAGUAGUGGGGGAUAGCCCGGGGAAACCCGGAUUAAUACCGCAUACGCCCUUUGGGGGAAAGCAGGGGAUCUUCGGACCUUGCGCUAUUGGAUGUGCCUAUGUCGGAUUAGCUAGUUGGUGGGGUAAGAGCCUACCAAGGCGACGAUCCGUAGCUGGUCUGAGAGGAUGAUCAGCCACAUCGGGACUGAGACACGGCCCGAACUCCUACGGGAGGCAGCAGUGGGGAAUAUUGGACAAUGGGGGCAACCCUGAUCCAGCCAUGCCGCGUGUGUGAAGAAGGCUUUCGGGUUGUAAAGCACUUUCAGUGAGGAGGAAAACCUUACGACUAAUACUCGUGAGGCUUGACGUUACUCACAGAAGAAGCACCGGCUAACUCCGUGCCAGCAGCCGCGGUAAUACGGAGGGUGCAAGCGUUAAUCGGAAUUACUGGGCGUAAAGCGCGCGUAGGUGGUUUGAUAAGCGAGAUGUGAAAGCCCCGGGCUCAACCUGGGAACGGCAUUUCGAACUGUCAGGCUAGAGUAUGGUAGAGGAGUGUGGAAUUUCCUGUGUAGCGGUGAAAUGCGUAGAUAUAGGAAGGAACACCAGUGGCGAAGGCGGCACUCUGGACCAAUACUGACACUGAGGUGCGAAAGCGUGGGNAGCAAACAGGAUUAGAUACCCUGGUA